RNAcentral lists this long non-coding RNA (1083 nucleotides) under Monodelphis domestica (gray short-tailed opossum). RNAcentral's name for it is "lncRNA (ENSMODG00000048198.1)". Lineage: Eukaryota; Metazoa; Chordata; Mammalia; Didelphimorphia; Didelphidae. The record is from RNAcentral.
GUAAAAUAAGGUAUACUGCUCAAGGUUAACAUUUUCCUAGAAAGCUGUCAUUCUUUUAUGUUGUUACUCAGUUCAUUGAAGCUAAAUUCCUGAAUGAGUUAAUGUUUUGUAUGCUAUAAUGAGUAAGGGAUUAAUUUAAUAUGAAUUACUGAAACCUAAAAUUUCACGGUGACAUGUUCUUCCUAUAUAACUCCUAGAAAAUUAAGAGAUUUUAAAUUGGUCAAAAUUAUGUUGUAAUAUCAGUUAAGUCAUAAUUGGCUCAUUGUUCAUUACUAGAAAGGCAGAGGGACUUGGGCAGAACUGCUCCCUUUCCCCUCUUCACCCAACCUGAUGGCAUAUUUUCACAUCCCCCACCCUUCUGCCCAGCAGCCAAAUGGGAGGGCACAAUGGCUAAGGCUAGUGGCUCACAGGUGGCAGAGCUGGAGGGGAGCAAAGGGCUCCUCUCCCUCCUUAUAGUUACUGAAGACAUUCCUCACUUCACCUACCCAGCAGCCUUGGGUAGGAGGCAAUGAACCACAAUCCCAAGAAACAGUCAUUUCUAGACUUGAUCAAUUGUGAAUUUCUGAGUCAGUGAUGAUUGCCCAUGUGGAGGUGCUUACUGCAACAACAUUGCUUUUGAGAGAAGAUGUUCUACUACCAGGAGAAAUUACCAGUACAAGGAUAGAAGUCAUGUUUAAAAAACGAAUUAGAAUAUUGCCUGUCUUUUGAACCGGAUCCUAUACUGCAAGCUGCCAUUUGAAGGCUGGUGCUUCUCAGAAAUGAUAUUACACAUCAGAGAGGUGGCUUUGGUAUCAUCGAUUGAUUGAGAAGACUUCUUCAGGUAUAUAAGUAAAAUUGAUAAUAGGAGAGUUCUGCUUGAAUACUUUGACAUGCCAUCAGCAUUUCUGAUGAGUAUUUGCCAGGACAGACCAAGCUUAUGAGAUGGAGAGGUAUGAAUUUUGAAGAUAGGGAGUUUGUUUUCCUCUCUUCCCCAACCCCUAAUGCUGAUAAGCUAGCAACAAAAGACCUGUUACCUGGGGUGGCUACUAUCUGUGGGAGAUGAGAGGAGGCCAAGAUCAUCUCCAAACAAAAAUGCAAAUGAAA